RNAcentral lists this ribosomal RNA (497 nucleotides) under uncultured bacterium. RNAcentral's name for it is "partial 16S ribosomal RNA". It matches the Rfam family "Bacterial small subunit ribosomal RNA", at positions 28 to 507 of the family's 1533-position model. The record is from RNAcentral.
GAUGAACGCUGGCGGCGUGCCUAAUACAUGCAAGUCGAGCGAACAGACGAGGAGCUUGCUCCUCUGACGUUAGCGGCGGACGGGUGAGUAACACGUGGAUAACCUACCUAUAAGACUGGGAUAACUUCGGGAAACCGGAGCUAAUACCGGAUAAUAUAUUGAACCGCAUGGUUCAAUAGUGAAAGACGGUUUUGCUGUCACUUAUAGAUGGAUCCGCGCCGCAUUAGCUAGUUGGUAAGGUAACGGCUUACCAAGGCAACGAUGCGUAGCCGACCUGAGAGAGUGAUCGGCCACACUGGAACUGAGACACGGUCCAGACUCCUACGGGGGGCAGCAGUAGGGAAUCUUCCGCAAUGGGCGAAAGCCUGACGGAGCAACGCCGCGUGAGUGAUGAAGGUCUUCGGAUCGUAAAACUCUGUUAUUAGGGAAGAACAAAUGUGUAAGUAACUAUGCACGUCUUGACGGUACCUAAUCAGAAAGCCACGGCUAACUACGUG